This is a transfer RNA of Felis catus (domestic cat), 85 nucleotides long. It matches the Rfam family "tRNA". Rfam says of the family: Transfer RNA (tRNA) molecules are approximately 80 nucleotides in length. The record is from Rfam. NCBI's taxonomy places the organism in Eukaryota, Metazoa, Chordata, Mammalia, Carnivora, Felidae.
GCCUGGGUGACUCAGUAGGUUGAGUGUCCAACUUUGGCUCAGGUCAUGAUCUCACCAUCUGUGGGUUCGAGCCCCGCCUCGGGCU